CAGCCGCCGCGGUAAUACGUAGGGUGCAAGCGUUAAUCGGAAUUACUGGGCGCAAAGCGUGCGCAGGCGGUUAUAUAAGUCAGAUGUGAAAUCCCCGGGCUCAACCUGGGAACUGCAUUUGAGACUGUAUGGCUAGAGUGUGUCAGAGGGGGGUAGAAUUCCACGUGUAGCAGUGAAAUGCGUAGAUAUGUGGAGGAAUACCGAUGGCGAAGGCAGCCCCCUGGGAUAACACUGACGCUCAUGCACGAAAGCGUGGGGAGCAAACAGGAUUAGAUACCCCGGUAGUCCCUGUCUCUUAUAC
RNAcentral lists this ribosomal RNA (301 nucleotides) under uncultured bacterium. RNAcentral describes it as "partial 16S ribosomal RNA". It matches the Rfam family "Bacterial small subunit ribosomal RNA", at positions 509 to 807 of the family's 1533-position model. The record is from RNAcentral.